UUUUUUAAAUAACUUUGUAAAUUAUAUUUAUUUAUCUUCUAUAUCUUUAAUAUUCUAUAAAUAAAAAAAUUUAAUAAUUUAUUAUUUAUGUAAUUAUGCUGUUGUCAAUCGUUUGACCGAUCGAACUAUCGAUUAAACUAAGUGAACCGCGAUCUAGUAUGUUUUUCGGUUGGCAACUAGUGCCGAAUUGUGACGCCCCAACUUUCCAGGGGGUCACCCAUUCUAGGACUACUUCCGUCCUAGCACGCUUAACUCUCUUAACCUCUUAGGCCUUGCCAUCACCCAAAAUGCUUAAACCGGGUUAAGAGUUUAGCCCUAUUAUAUUUCAUAUAUAGGACUAUCUGGGGUUCUCACAAUCUCCCAUCCUUUAAGCCCUGACGUCCUCGUCAGGCACAGACUCACAAGUACCAGGCGAUGUGAGACUCAUCUCGCUAGCCCGUCAUCCAGACCCUGGCUCAGCCGAGACUCAUCUCACACUUCCGGCUGGUAAUUGGCUCUGAUACCAACUGAGCUACUCCAACUUUACAGUUAUAUUGAACCUUGCACCUGCAUCUAUAUCUGCAUUCCUUUACUCAGUUAUUUUCAUAUCGAUAUUAUGCUUAGAAGUAGAGUUGACUUAUCUGUUCACUAUAUCUGUGAUUUAAUCCAGCCCACUAGUAACAAUAACUCGUUGGGCCGGUUCGUUACACGAAUUUUAAACCGUUGGUUGUAAAAUAAAAUAGAAUAUUAUAUAUAUUUUAAUAUAAUAUAAAAUAUUAUUUAUUAUUUAUUAAAUGAAUGACACGAAUCUCAAAGUCGUAUAAAUCGUUCGCUACCACCACCAUUUUUUUUUUUU
Molecule: long non-coding RNA, 835 nt
Filed under: Ananas comosus (pineapple)
Lineage: Eukaryota; Viridiplantae; Streptophyta; Magnoliopsida; Poales; Bromeliaceae
Description: long non-coding RNA (ACOM_LNC022576)
Source: RNAcentral